GCCUAAAGCCAUGCCACCCUGAACGUGCCUGAUCCCGCCUGAUCUCAGAAGCUAAGCAGGGUCGGGCCUGGUUAGUACUUGGAUGGGAGACCACCUAAGAAGACCAGGUGCUAUAGGCA
Molecule: ribosomal RNA, 119 nt
Filed under: Pteropus alecto (black flying fox)
Lineage: Eukaryota; Metazoa; Chordata; Mammalia; Chiroptera; Pteropodidae
Source: RNAcentral